RNAcentral lists this ribosomal RNA (253 nucleotides) under uncultured bacterium. RNAcentral describes it as "partial 16S ribosomal RNA". It matches the Rfam family "Bacterial small subunit ribosomal RNA", at positions 524 to 776 of the family's 1533-position model. The record is from RNAcentral.
UACGUAGGGUGCAAGCGUUAAUCGGAAUUAUUGGGCGUAAAGCGCGCGCAGGCGGUCUUUUAAGUCUGAUGUGAAAGCCCACGGCUCAACCGUGGAGGGUCAUUGGAAACUGGGGGGCUUGAGUGCAGGAGAGAAGAGUGGAAUUCCACGUGUAGCGGUGAAAUGCGUAGAGAUGUGGAGGAACACCAGUGGCGAAGGCGACUCUUUGGCCUGUAACUGACGCUGAGGCGCGAAAGCGUGGGGAGCAAACAGG